RNAcentral lists this ribosomal RNA (460 nucleotides) under uncultured bacterium. RNAcentral's name for it is "partial 16S ribosomal RNA". It matches the Rfam family "Bacterial small subunit ribosomal RNA", at positions 338 to 795 of the family's 1533-position model. The record is from RNAcentral.
CCUACGGGUGGCAGCAGUGAGGAAUAUUGGUCAAUGGGCGUAAGCCUGAACCAGCCAAGUCGCGUGAAGGAAGACUGCCCUAUGGGUUGUAAACUUCUUUUAUAGGGGAAUAAAGGUAUGCACGUGUGGCUUUUUGCAUGUACCCUAUGAAUAAGCAUCGGCUAACUCCGUGCCAGCAGCCGCGGUAAUACGGAGGAUGCGAGCGUUAUCCGGAUUUAUUGGGUUUAAAGGGUGCGUAGGUUGGUUUUUAAGUCAGUGGUGAAAGUUUGUGGCUCAACCAUAAAAUUGCCGUUGAUACUGGAAGACUUGAGUGUGUUUGAGGUAGGCGGAAUGCGUGGUGUAGCGGUGAAAUGCAUAGAUAUCACGCAGAACUCCGAUUGCGAAGGCAGCUUACUAAGCCAUAACUGACACUGAAGCACGAAAGCGUGGGGAUCAAACAGGAUUAGAUACCCCAGUAGUC